This 253-nucleotide ribosomal RNA is filed under the name uncultured bacterium. Its description in RNAcentral is "partial 16S ribosomal RNA". It matches the Rfam family "Bacterial small subunit ribosomal RNA", at positions 524 to 776 of the family's 1533-position model. The record is from RNAcentral.
UACGUAGGGUGCAAGCGUUAAUCGGAAUUACUGGGCGUAAAGCGUGUGUAGGUGGCCGCGCAAGUCGGAUGUGAAAGCCCUGGGCUCAACUCAGGAAGUGCACCCGAUACUGCGUGGCUCGAGUACCGGAGAGGUUGGUGGAAUUCUCGGUGUAGAGGUGAAAUUCGUAGAUAUCGAGAGGAACACCUGUGGCGAAGGCGGCCAACUGGACGAGUACUGACACUGAGACACGAAAGCGUGGGGAGCAAACAGG